GUUCUUCAACCCAGUCCUCAUGGGCCACCAACAGUCCAGGUUUUGUCAGUAUCUCUAUUGGAAUAAAACAGGGAAAUACAUACAUUCUGGACUGUUGGUGGUCCAUGAGGACUGGGUUGGGGAC
Molecule: non-coding RNA, 124 nt
Organism: Pelobates cultripes (western spadefoot toad)
Lineage: Eukaryota; Metazoa; Chordata; Amphibia; Anura; Pelobatidae
Source: the annotation of a GenBank genome assembly